GGAUCACAGUGGGUGCCAUAUUACCUAUUAUUUUUAUUCUAAAACGUGCUAUGUAUAUAGAAAUAAAAAGAUGAGGUAUAAGUGCCAAAUGAGACAUCUUUCCAAAAAAGACAUAAUCUAGUAAAGUAAGCAGUCAUAGGUUCAAUGCCGAAAAGUACGCUAUAAAUGACCCAAAAAUUACUUGUGUAAAACAAUCAAAACAAAAAAAAACAAAAA
Molecule: long non-coding RNA, 216 nt
Filed under: Mytilus galloprovincialis (Mediterranean mussel)
Lineage: Eukaryota; Metazoa; Mollusca; Bivalvia; Mytilida; Mytilidae
Source: RNAcentral